GACGUAGCAGGUCCCACAUAAAUAUGCUCAAGGAUAAUAACGCCCAAAAGGGCAUGACUAAAUUAUGUUGCAUGAUGUCAUCACGAAAGUUAAAAGGUCACAACUUUCAACUCCAAUGACAACUGAUAGUGGUUGACCGUCACCCAUUUUUGUUUCUCUCUGUUAUAUCUAGUAUAAUAAUAGUCAAAACUUAUACAAGGAAUACACUGUGAUGUCAUCACGAAAGUUAAAAGGUCACAACUUUCAACUCCAAUGACAACUGAUAGUGGUUGACCCUCACCCAUUUUUGUCUCUCUGUUAUAUCUAGUAUAAUAAUAGUCAAAACUUAUACAAGGAAUACACUACUAAUAGGAAGCAACCCGCAAAUAUUUUUGGUCACUCCUGUUCUCGAGACAAUAAGUCCCUCAUUGCGAGUUUAGGUAGAGACCUACAAAUCGGUUUAGAUCGCGCAAAAAAGGGGAAGGGAAAAAAAUAAAAAAUGGUAGAAGUAUAACACGUGGCAAAAGGAUGGUGUUAGACCCGACAAUAGGACCACGUUUAUUACUUAUCCCGAACAAUAAAAAUAUCUGGCCCUUAAAUCAGCAAAUUUUCCCUUCAAAAUACACCAGCAACUUUUCUAUUUAAUCACUGAAAUUAUGCAAAAUAUUUAGUAGGCUGAUCCGUACAAAAUACCAACCUU
Molecule: long non-coding RNA, 679 nt
Filed under: Olea europaea (common olive)
Lineage: Eukaryota; Viridiplantae; Streptophyta; Magnoliopsida; Lamiales; Oleaceae
Description: long non-coding RNA (OEUR_LNC011265)
Source: RNAcentral